This 246-nucleotide ribosomal RNA is filed under the name Strombidinopsis acuminata. RNAcentral's name for it is "partial Bacterial large subunit ribosomal RNA". It matches the Rfam family "Bacterial large subunit ribosomal RNA", at positions 1127 to 1380 of the family's 2925-position model. The record is from RNAcentral. Lineage: Eukaryota; Ciliophora; Spirotrichea; Choreotrichida; Strombidinopsidae.
AGAAAGCGUAACAGCUCACUGGUCAAGCGCUCCUGCGCGGAAAAUGUAACGGGGCUUAAGUGAUACACCGAAGCUGCGGGCUCGAAAGAGCGGUAGCGGAGCGUUCUGUAAGUCUGCGAAGGGCAGGUGCGAGCCUGCUUGGAGAUAUCAGAAGUGAGAAUGCUGACAUGAGUAGCGAUAAAGAGGGUGAGAGACCCUCUCGCCGAAAGACCAAGGGUUCCUGCUUAAAGUUAAUCUGAGCAGGGU